This 455-nucleotide ribosomal RNA is filed under the name uncultured bacterium. Its description in RNAcentral is "SSU rRNA". It matches the Rfam family "Bacterial small subunit ribosomal RNA", at positions 26 to 518 of the family's 1533-position model. The record is from RNAcentral.
AGAACGAACGCUGGCGGCAGGCCUAACACAUGCAAGUCGAACGAGAAGCCACCUUCGGGUGGUGGACAGUGGCAGACGGGUGAGUAACGCGUGGGAACGUGCCUUUCGGUUCGGGAUAACCCAGGGAAACUUGGGCUAAUACCGGAUACGCCCUUCGGGGGAAAGAUUCAUUGCCGAAAGAUCGGCCCGCGUCGGAUUAGCUAGUUGGUGGGGUAAAAGCCUACCAAGGCGACGAUCCGUAGCUGGUCUGAGAGGAUGACCAGCCACACUGGGACUGAGACACGGCCCAGACUCCUACGGGAGGCAGCAGUGGGGAAUAUUGGACAAUGGCGCAAGCCUGAUCCAGCCAUGCCGCGUGGAUGAUGAAGGCCCUAGGGUUGUAAAGUCCUUUCGGCGGGGAAGAUAAUGACGGUACCCGCAGAAGAAGCCCCGGCUAACUUCGUGCCAGCAGCCGC